Molecule: ribosomal RNA, 497 nt
Filed under: uncultured bacterium
Lineage: Bacteria
Description: partial 16S ribosomal RNA
Rfam family: Bacterial small subunit ribosomal RNA
Source: RNAcentral
GAUGAACGCUGGCGGCGUGCCUAAUACAUGCAAGUCGAGCGAACAGAUGAGGAGCCUGCUCCUCUGACGUUAGCGGCGGACGGGAGAGUAACACGUGGAUAACCUACCUAUAAGACUGGGAUAACUUCGGGAAACCGGAGCUAAUACCGGAUAAUAUAUUGAACCACAUGGUUCAAUAGUGAAAGACGGUUUUGCUGUCACUUAUAGAUGGAUCCGCGCCGCAUUAGCUAGUUGGUAAGGUAACGGCUUACCAAGGCGACGAUGCGUAGCCGACCUGAGAGGGUGAUCGGCCACACUGGAACUGAGACACGGUCCAGACUCCUACGGGAGGCAGCAGUAGGGAAUCUUCCGCAAGGGGCGAAAGCCUGACGGAGCACCGCCGCGUGAGUGAUGAUGGUCUUCGGAUCGGAAAACUCUGUUAGUAGGGAAGAACAAAUGUGUAAGUAACUAUGCACGUCUUGACGGUACCUAAUCAGAAAGCCACGGCUAACUACGUG